This 744-nucleotide ribosomal RNA is filed under the name uncultured organism. RNAcentral describes it as "bacterial SSU rRNA". It matches the Rfam family "Bacterial small subunit ribosomal RNA", at positions 578 to 1326 of the family's 1533-position model. The record is from RNAcentral.
GAUUAGUAAGUCAGUGGUGAAAGCUCCCGGCUCAACCGGGAAAAUGCCAUUGAUACUGUUAAUCUUGAGUACAGUUGAGGUAGGCGGAAUGUAUCAUGUAGCGGUGAAAUGCAUAGAUAUGAUACAGAACACCGAUAGCGAAGGCAGCUUACCAAACUGUAACUGACGCUCAUGCACGAAAGCGUGGGGAGCAAACAGGAUUAGAUACCCUGGUAGUCCACGCUGUAAACUAUGAUCACUCGCUGUUGGCGAUACACUGUCAGCGGCUUAGCGAAAGUGUUAAGUGAUCCACCUGGGGAGUACGAUCGCAAGGUUGAAACUCAAAGGAAUUGACGGGGGCCCGCACAAGCGGAGGAGCAUGUGGUUUAAUUCGAUGAUACGCGAGGAACCUUACCUGGGCUUAAAUGCAGAACGACCUCCCGAGAAAUCGGGACUUCCUUCGGGACGGACUGCAAGGUGCUGCAUGGUUGUCGUCAGCUCGUGCCGUGAGGUGUCGGGUUAAGUCCCAUAACGAGCGCAACCCUUAUCCUUAGUUGCCAACAGGUAAUGCUGGGAACUCUAAGGAAACUGCCUACGCAAGUAGUGAGGAAGGUGGGGAUGACGUCAAAUCAGCACGGCCCUUAUGUCCAGGGCUACACACGUGCUACAAUGGUCGGUACAGAGGGCAGCUACCUGGCAACAGGAUGCUAAUCUCGAAAGCCGGUCUCAGUUCGGAUUGGAGUCUGCAACUCGACUCCAUGAAGU